This 465-nucleotide ribosomal RNA is filed under the name uncultured bacterium. RNAcentral's name for it is "partial 16S ribosomal RNA". It matches the Rfam family "Bacterial small subunit ribosomal RNA", at positions 338 to 795 of the family's 1533-position model. The record is from RNAcentral.
CCUACGGGGGGCAGCAGUGGGGAAUAUUGCGCAAUGGGCGAAAGCCUGACGCAGCGACGCCGCGUGAGGGAUGAAGGUCUUCGGAUCGUAAACCUCUGUCAGCAGGGAAGAACGGUCACUGUGCUAAUCAGCAGUGAAUUGACGGUACCUGCAAAGGAAGCACCGGCUAACUCCGUGCCAGCAGCCGCGGUAAUACGGAGGGUGCGAGCGUUAAUCGGAAUUACUGGGCGUAAAGCGCUCGUAGGCGGUAUGUCAAGUCAAGGGGGAAAUCCCCGCGCUCAACGUGGGAACUGCCUUUGAAACUGGCAAACUGGAGUGUGGUAGAGGAGAGUGGAAUUCCAGGUGUAGGGGUGAAAUGCGUAGAUAUCUGGAGGAACAUCAGUGGCGAAGGCGACUAUCUGGCACAUAACUGACGCUGAGGAGCGAAAGCGUGGGUAGCAAACAGGAUUAGAUACCCUGGUAGUC